GAUGAACGCUGGCGGCGUGCCUAAUACAUGCAAGUCGAGCGAACAGACGAGGAGCUUGCUCCUCUGACGUUAGCGGCGGACGGGUGAGUAACACGUGGAUAACCUACCUAUAAGACUGGGAUAACUUCGGGAAACCGGAGCUAAUACCGGAUAAUAUAUUGAACCGCAUGGUUCAAUAGUGAAAGACGGUUUUGCUGUCACUUAUAGAUGGAUCCGCGCCGCAUUAGCUAGUUGGUAAGGUAACGGCUUACCAAGGCAACGAUGCGUAGCCGACCUGAGAGGGUGAUCGGCCACACUGGAACUGAGACACGGUCCAGACUGCUACGGGAGGCAGCAGUAGGGAAUCUUCCGCAAUGGGCGAAAGCCUGACGGAGCAACGCCGCGUGAGUGAUGAAGGUCUUCGGAUCGUAAAACUCUGUUAUUAGGGAAGAACAAAUGUGUAAGUAACUAUGCACGUCUUGACGGUACCUAAUCAGAAAGCCACGGCUAACUACGUG
RNAcentral lists this ribosomal RNA (497 nucleotides) under uncultured bacterium. RNAcentral's name for it is "partial 16S ribosomal RNA". It matches the Rfam family "Bacterial small subunit ribosomal RNA", at positions 28 to 507 of the family's 1533-position model. The record is from RNAcentral.